GCCCGCUUGGCUUAGGGGUAAAGCGUGUCACUCGUAAUCUACGUCGAGUAUGUAAUCACGUGAUAUGACAAGAUCAGUCGUUCGAAUCGGCUAGCGGGCA
RNAcentral lists this transfer RNA (100 nucleotides) under Leucoagaricus sp. SymC.cos. It matches the Rfam family "tRNA". Rfam says of the family: Transfer RNA (tRNA) molecules are approximately 80 nucleotides in length. Lineage: Eukaryota; Fungi; Basidiomycota; Agaricomycetes; Agaricales; Agaricaceae. The record is from Rfam by way of RNAcentral.